UUUCCUCUUCUAUCAUUCAUGAAACAUAAAUUGCUUCAUCCCAUCAUCAUCCCUUCUUUUUCUUCUCAAUCUAUCCCCAAACCGUAGUAGGAUUCCCAAUUUUUUAGGAUUUUUCCCCAAUUUCAAAUCCACCCAAAGAAGCUGUACACGAAAAUCAGGGGAUAAGCUGUCCACCCAAUUACUUAUCUUCUUUCUUUUUGAUCCAUUUUAUAUCUUCGUUUCAUCAUCAUUUCAUUUCUCUCGCCUAAAUCGUCAUUCCGCCGGUAUAUCCCCUUCCAUGGCGGCCACAUACCUCAGAUUCCGGCAAAUCUAAAUUCCGCAACUUCUACCACCACUAAAAAUUAGAGAGUACAACCACAGAAAACGAAGAAGAAGCAUAGCAUGGAGACGAGAGCCACAGACUCAAAAGCGAUGAUGAAAGACCAUAACACGGUGUCAACGAUCAAGAAAUUGAGGUCCAGCAACCAUUCCCAUAUGUCCUGCGAUCUCCACCUCGGCGUGGAUCCCGAUAAACUCUGUGGGGACUAGCUCGGCGUGAUGUACGACGAGAAAAGCCUUGGCCACCGAAAAAGUGAAGUCGGCAUUCUGAAGCUCACUUCCGCCAACCGGAAAGCCGAACUCCACCCAGACAUCUCCCUCUCCCUCUCCCUCUCCCUUCUCCCUUCUCCCUCUUUCAAUUCUCACUUUAAAUGAUAUUUUCAAUUCUCACCUCUUUCUAUAGUUUCUUUUUUUCAGCAAGAUCCGUUUAAAAUUUCUGUAAAAAAAUUCUGUAUUUUGAGCAAAGCUAUCGACUUUCAUACUUUUUUAGGGCUUUUGCAUGAAAGCUUGCUGGAAUUUAGUUGGAUUCUAACCACUGGAUUUUAGAAAAAAUGUUAGAAUUUUUAGUCUAGGGUGUAAUGGUUUCUGAUUAUUGUGUAGUUCAAUCCUCUGUAUCAAAUCUGUUACUACCUCUGUUGAUUCAUUCAUUCAUUCAUGCAAGGCUUCUUGAUCUAAUCUGGAAUAUGUGUAUCUGUAUGUAGUUUAUACUCCAUCGAAUUGAAGUUGAUUAGUUUUAAUUGAUUUGUGGCUGGACUGUUUGAUGGAAUUCUGGAUGCCGAUGUGUAUUAUUAUAUCUUGAUGUUUGUUGUGUAUGAGGUUUAAUUUUUACUUCAAUUGAGCUGAUCAGCA
This 1167-nucleotide long non-coding RNA is filed under the name Panax ginseng (ginseng). Its description in RNAcentral is "long non-coding RNA (PGIN_LNC009708)". The record is from RNAcentral. Lineage: Eukaryota; Viridiplantae; Streptophyta; Magnoliopsida; Apiales; Araliaceae.